This 560-nucleotide ribosomal RNA is filed under the name Hemitrichia intorta. RNAcentral describes it as "partial small subunit ribosomal RNA". It matches the Rfam family "Eukaryotic small subunit ribosomal RNA", at positions 27 to 543 of the family's 1831-position model. The record is from RNAcentral. Lineage: Eukaryota; Evosea; Eumycetozoa; Trichiida; Trichiidae.
UAUGCUUGUCCCGAAGCUUAAGCCAUGCAUGUCUAAGACUAAGUAGCUUGAUCCAUGAAUCUGCGAACGGCUCCGUAUAUCUGUUAUAACCCAACUCCUCCGAUGUCCCCUUCCCGUCCGCUCUCACGGGCGGCCGGGGGGGGGGUGACCCAUCGGAUACCCACGGUAAUUCUGUGGCUAAUACGUGUACCUAGAAGGGCGUGGUCACCCCCGUCCGCGGGGGAGGCCAUGCCUGGCCUUGUGGACCGACCGGAGGGAGCGAUCCCAAUGGGCGGAGCCCCCACAAGCUGCCUGACCGGGAUUCGUCCCGGCAUGCGAGAUGGGCGCCAGACCUAUCAACUAGACAGCCAGGGAUAGCCUGGCUGUGGUUAUAACGGGUACAGAGGAUCAGGGUUCGGUCCUGGAGAGGUAGCCUGAGAGAUCGCUACUACUUCUAAGGAAGGCAGCAGGCGCGCAACGUUCCCAAUGGGGACCCCCUGAGGACGUGAGGGGACAUAUCAAUGCCCGGCCCAUAAAGCCGGGCAAUUGGAAUGGGGGACCUUUAAACCCCCCACCGAGUA